GCACGACACGACCGCAACCAACCCAGACGAAGCCAUCUACGAUAUGUUGCAAGCAUACUGAAGUAUUCAAAUAUAUUUAUUGAGAACAUUACAUUAUAUAAUUAAUAUUAUAUAUAAUUAUAUAUAAUUAAUAUUAUGUAUAAUUAAUAUGAACUCAAAUGGCAUAAGCACAAACGAGACGCGAAGUCCCAUGCAAGGUGCAAACCCCGAAGCAGCGAAUACGUACAUAAAUAUAAAUACACACAUACAUAGAAUACAAAUAUAUAAAAGCCGCUUCCCCCUAUUAGUAUGCACCAUGAACACAACCACCUGAAUGCUUCACGGAUGUGUUAGCAAAAUAAUUUCAAACUCACAAGCAUAAUGAAUGCUUCACGGAUGUGUUAGCAUAAUAAUUUCAAACUCACAAGCAUAAUGAAUGCUUCACGGAUGUGUUAGCA
Molecule: non-coding RNA, 437 nt
Organism: Paramuricea clavata
Lineage: Eukaryota; Metazoa; Cnidaria; Anthozoa; Malacalcyonacea; Plexauridae
Source: the annotation of a GenBank genome assembly